Long non-coding RNA from Acinonyx jubatus (cheetah), 1733 nucleotides. RefSeq lists it as uncharacterized. The record is from RefSeq and is a predicted model, not a curated record. Lineage: Eukaryota; Metazoa; Chordata; Mammalia; Carnivora; Felidae. The transcript is spliced from 3 exons.
GGGGUGGGGGUGGGGAAAUAGCCCAGCCUUCUCCCCUCUUUCUUGGGACAGACGUGAGGCCCAUUCCACCCCAUCUCCUGGAAGUCUCCAGAGGGGCGGAGCCUCGGCUGUCCCCGCUGCGGCUGGUUCACCAGCGCGUCCUGACUCUGGGAUUCUUCCUUCCCUGCCUCAGUUUCCCCCUUUCCCUACCGGCGCGUCCCGGGAUUGUUGCAGGAUGCUUUUUUAACCUCAAUGCCCAGGAUUCGUUGUCUCGCCGCAAAGAAUGAAGGGGGGGGGGGGCACCGAAUAAAACGAGCAGCCGGCAAAAGUUUAUUAGAGUAUAAGAUCAGAAAGCAAGAAUAGUAGGAAAGCUCUCUUUCCAGAGAAGGGAGUGAAUGCCCGCGACUACAGGCACGGGUCCUUGUUUUAUAAGGUUUUGGUCGCCCCCCCCCCCCCUUCCGCCCCCACUCAUUUCUUCUCUGGUUUUACCCUUAUCGGGGUGAUAACUCUAAAUGCCUAGUCAUUCCUUUUUGAUUGGUUGGUUUCCAUCGUAUGAGGGGUGGUCUAGGGCCACACCGUUCCUUGUGGGUCAUACAUUUUAUGGUCGACUGCUUAUUUUUAGUCAGGUCUUUGGUCAAAUUCCUGAGGGGAACCUGAGGGGGAGCAGGUGGUGUCUGUAACAUUCUUAAGAGGAACCUUAUGCCCCCGGGAGACUGCUGCGGUCAGACGCUCCCAGCCUUGUUUCAAAAUAUGUGUUUUUCCCCACCCAGGGAUCUCACGUCCUAACCUUUCCCUCUCUGCCUGUUUUACCCUCUUUCCCUAUCAUAGGAUCACUGCCCAAAGGAACUUCUCUCAUCCUUAUCUCAGGGUCGGCUUCUGGGGGAACCCAACCAAGAUGAGCAGUGACCAGGAUCACCUCUAGAGAGAGAGAGAGAGAGAGAGAGAAUCCCAAGCAGGCUCUGGUUGUCCGUGCAGAGCCCGACGUUGGGCCCAAUCUCAUGAACCGUGAGAUCAUGACCUGAGCCGAGAUCAAGAGUCGGACGCUUAACCGACUGAGCCACCCGGGCGCCCAUUCAUGGAUUAUCUUAGUCACGGUCACGCCGAGGGAGAGGGACUAUUGUUCGGCCUCCUCUUACAGCCCCACCGGCCACGGCGGUCGAUCGGAACUUCUACAGGCUGCAUUCUGAACACGCACAACGUUGCCAGUAACGGAUUCCUACGUGUAGUCACUUCUGUUUGUUGGCAAAAUCCUGAAAACGUGGAGCUCAUGGGAGACGAGGAUCUUCAAGGGGCUGGGGCGGUGGGAAGGCCAGGACCCCACUGCCCUGGGCUCUGGCUACUAGAACGAUUGACGUGUGGGCUUCUUGUUCUCCAGCUCCACAGCACCUUGGUUUCUCUUCUGUAACCACGUGUGUGUGUGCGCGCGCGCGCGCGUGUGCUGGGGGCAUAAGCUCUGUCUCCCACGUGGAGCUGAGGGCCCAGGACCUCCUUCCCCGGGCCCCUCUCUGUCCUAGGGAUCAGCCAAGGGGAGGGCCUAGGACCCAGGUAUGGACUCUUCCUCUGUAUUGGUCGGCUUUUGUUCUAGUAACAAAGAGCCCCCAGAUCUCAGUGGUUUUUUGUUUUUCUUUUUGGCUCGUGGGCAUGAGGGUUGACUUUGACCCCACUCAGCUCUCAGCCAGGCAUGACAAAUACUGUUCUGCUAGCAGACAGAAGCAAGAGGCUAACCUGAACCACUCAGGUGCAUUUAAAAUCUC